Oreochromis aureus is the source of this 353-nucleotide long non-coding RNA. Lineage: Eukaryota; Metazoa; Chordata; Actinopteri; Cichliformes; Cichlidae. The record is from Ensembl.
CAAAAAGACUGACUCCUCCUGCCAUUGCCCUGCGCUCCAAGUCAAUGACAUCAGAGCUGGAAGAUAUGGUGGACAAAGGUGGGAGAAUCACAGAUUUGUGUGCUCUCAUGAUCAUUUCUGUCCCCAUCAACAUCCCUAUCAUCACAUCAGCAUUCACACCAUCACAUGUGUCUGAGUAUGUAUUUCAUCUCUUCAUCUGCUUUACACACUUCGCAGAAGUUCUAGUCACACCUAAUUUCUCUUUCCCCAAUUACGCGUGCAACAGCUGCCUCUCCGUGGAAAAAGAAAGCAGGUGAGUAUCAGUGUUAUCAUCACCCCUAUCAGCCUCUGAGCUUUAAUUAAAAAUCAGUCAG